AAUCAACGCUGGCGGCGUGCCUAAUACAUGCAAGUCGAACGCGAAAGUCCCGCAAGGGGCAAGUAGAGUGGCAAACGGGUGAGUAACGCGUGGGCGACCUACCUUCGAGUGGGGGAUAACCUUCCGAAAGGAGGGCUAAUACCGCAUGACAUCCCGUGUUUGGAUACACGGACAUCAAAGUCGGGGAUCGCAAGACCUGACGCUUGGAGAGGGGCCUGCGUCCGAUUAGCUAGUUGGUGGGGUAACGGCCCACCAAGGCUUCGAUCGGUAUCCGGCCUGAGAGGGCGGACGGACACACUGGGACUGAGACACGGCUCAGACUCCUACGGGAGGCAGCAGUAGGGAAUUGUUCGCAAUGGGUGCAAGCCUGACGACGCAACGCCGCGUGGAGGAUGAAGACCUUCGGGUCGUAAACUCCUUUCGACCGAGAUGAACACUCACCGACCUAAUACGUCGGUGAGCUGACAGUAUCGAGGGAAGAAGCCCCGGCUAACUCCGUGC
This 501-nucleotide ribosomal RNA is filed under the name uncultured bacterium. Its description in RNAcentral is "bacterial SSU rRNA". It matches the Rfam family "Bacterial small subunit ribosomal RNA", at positions 32 to 508 of the family's 1533-position model. The record is from RNAcentral.